UAGGGAAUAUUGGACAAUGGGCGCAAGCCUGAUCCAGCCAUGCCGCGUGAGUGAAGAAGGCCCUCGGGUUGUAAAGCUCUUUUGUCCGGAAAGAAAAGCAUCGGGCUAAUACCCUGGUGUUCUGACGGUACCGGAAGAAUAAGCACCGGCUAACUUCGUGCCAGCAGCCGCGGUAAUACGAAGGGUGCAAGCGUUACUCGGAAUUACUGGGCGUAAAGCGUGCGUAGGUGGUUUGUUAAGUCUGAUGUGAAAGCCCUGGGCUCAACCUGGGAAUGGCAUUGGAAACUGGCGGACUCGAGUGCGGUAGAGGGGUGUGGAAUUCCCGGUGUAGCAGUGAAAUGCGUAGAGAUCGGGAGGAACACCAGUGGCGAAGGCGACACCCUGGACCAGCACUGACACUGAGGCACGAAAGCGUGGGGAGCAAACAGGAUUAGAUACCCUGGUAGUCCACGCCCUAAACGAUGCGAACUGGAUGUUGGGUGCAACUUGGCACUCAGUAUCGAAGCUAACGCGUUAAGUUCGCCGCCUGGGGAGUACGGUCGCAAGACUGAAACUCAAAUGAAUUGACGGGGUCAUAGCUGUUUCCU
This 587-nucleotide ribosomal RNA is filed under the name uncultured bacterium. RNAcentral's name for it is "partial 16S ribosomal RNA". It matches the Rfam family "Bacterial small subunit ribosomal RNA", at positions 355 to 1375 of the family's 1533-position model. The record is from RNAcentral.